Molecule: long non-coding RNA, 362 nt
Filed under: Setaria viridis
Lineage: Eukaryota; Viridiplantae; Streptophyta; Magnoliopsida; Poales; Poaceae
Description: long non-coding RNA (SVIR_LNC010010)
Source: RNAcentral
GUGUACUUGACGCAGUUCAUGCACGCUGGGUGGCAACCCUGGUACGAGAUGUCCAGGCAAUUGCAAUCUGGUGGAUUCUUCCUGUUGCAGAAGCCGCAUUGGUUGCAGCACGGCCAGGAGCUCGCGUUCGCGGCGGCGUCGGCGACCGCCGCCGCUCCUCCCUCCUCCCCACUCCCUGCGGCCACCAAAGAUUAGUCAACGCAUCCAGUUGAGUUGAGUUGAGUGUCAAACUGUUAAUUUCUCACCUUUGCUGAUGAGUGGCAGAGCUGCGAGGACGGCGAGGACAGCCAGUGUGACGAGCAACACCUGAGGUCUCAUGCUUGUUUCUCUUGGUAUGUAGGAACAGGGUGUUGCCAAGUUUG